UACGGAAGGCAGCAGUGGGGAAUAUUGCACAAUGGGCGAAAGCCUGAUGCAGCUAUGCCGCGUGUAUGAAGAAGGCCUUAGGGUUGUAAAGUACUUUCAUCGGGGAGGAAAAACAAAACUAAUAAUUUUAUUUCUUGACGUUACCCGAAAAAGAAGCACCGGCUAACUCCGUGCCAGCAGCCGCGGUAAUACGGAGGGUGCUAGCGUUAAUCAGAAUUACUGGGCGUAAAGAGCACGUAGGUGGUUUUUUUAAGUCAGAUGUGAAAUCCCCUGGGCUUAACCUGGAACUGCAUUUUGAAACUGAAAUACUAGAGUAUCGUAGAGGGAGGUAGAAUUCUAGGUGUAGCGGUGAAAUGCGUAGAUAUCUGGAGGAAUACCUGUGGCGAAAGCGGCCUCCUAAACGAAUACUGACACUGAGGUGCGAAAGCGUGGGGAGCAAACAGGGAUUAGAUACC
This 455-nucleotide ribosomal RNA is filed under the name uncultured bacterium. RNAcentral describes it as "bacterial SSU rRNA". It matches the Rfam family "Bacterial small subunit ribosomal RNA", at positions 340 to 786 of the family's 1533-position model. The record is from RNAcentral.